AGAAUGACUUUUUACAUAGACGACGAUAACUUUUAUCGGUGUGGCGUGUGGGUACUGGCUACUGGAGCGGCUGGGUAUUCAUUGGAAUUCAUCGAUCUAAUGAUUCUAAUAAGAAAAAAAAACCAUGCCUCCAGUGUCACAACUGAUGAUUCCUUUACCCAUCAAAUGCCAGAUUGGCAGAUAGUUCAAUAUGUGGGUGCUGAAUGAACUGAUUACAUUUAUCAUCAGACAUUGCUCCCUUUCAGAAAAUUAUGUCUUGAAGAUGACGACAAGUUGCCAGUUGAUUUACAUGUCACCCAUAAUGAUAUCCUAGCACACCAUACUUUAUUCGGCAUGCAAAAAAAACUUUCCCUUCUAGCUUUCCCUCAUUUAAAGGCCUUGAUGUUAUGGUUAGCGAAAUUUUAUCAACAAAGAUAAAUUAAAGCUGCAGCUUUGGAAAAUGGAAUUGACAAUUAACUUUACAAUAGACAUACUACAGUUUCAGAACAGUUAGGCCCGCAUGAAGAUGACAAGUUGCCAGUCGAUUGACAUGUCACCUUUACUGAUAUCCUAACACACCAUACUUUAUUCGGCAUAAAAAAAAGGUUUCCCUUCUGGGUUUCCCUCAUUUAAAAGGCCUUGAUGAUGUAAUGGUGCUAUGCCAAAAUUUUAUCAACGUAGAGAAAUUAAAGCUGCAGCUGUGGGAAAUGGAAUUGACAAUUACAUUCAUCACAGACACAUUUCAGUUUCAGAAAGUGGAGUUUUGUCUUGAAGAUGACAAAAGUUGCCCGUUGAUUUACAUGUCACCUUAAGUGAUAUCAUAGCAGGAGCUUAUCAUUUAGAUAGCGAAAAUUUUGUCUUGAAGAUGACAAGUUGCCAGUCGAUUUACAUAACACCCUAAGUGACAUCAUAACAGGAACUUUUCAUUUUGGUUUUUUUGAUAUUUUUAGGUACUCUAAAGCAAGAGCCUUGACAUGCAAAACUAUAUUUCAUUCUGGCCCAACAAUAAAUAGUGGGAAAACUUAUCAUGUUCUUGAAAGGUUUUGUAAUUCAAAUCAGGAGUGUAUUGUAGUCCCUAAAUUUUUUAAUUCAAAAUCAGGAGCUUAUUAUGGUCCCUUAAAAUUUUUUACAUCUGAAGUGUAUUGCAAAUGCAAUCAGCGUGGUUGUCCAUGUGAUUUAGUAACUGGGGAAGACAGAAAUUUUGCCAAUGAUAUUUAUAAAUCCCCUUCUUCCCAUGUAUCCUGCACUGUUGAAAUGAUCUCAGUGAACACUCCAUAAGAAAUAUGUAUUAUUUGCAAAUAUAAUUAAAUUAUUUAUUUCCCCCGCCUGA
RNAcentral lists this long non-coding RNA (1309 nucleotides) under Daphnia pulicaria. Its description in RNAcentral is "uncharacterized LOC124344336, transcript variant X6". The record is from RNAcentral. Lineage: Eukaryota; Metazoa; Arthropoda; Branchiopoda; Diplostraca; Daphniidae.